AGAGUUUGAUCCUGGCUCAGGAUGAACGCUAGCUACAGGCUUAACACAUGCAAGUCGAGGGGAAACGACAUCGAAAGCUUGCUUUUGAUGGGCGUCGACCGGCGCACGGGUGAGUAACGCGUAUCCAACCUGCCCAUCACUUGGGGAUAACCUUGCGAAAGUAAGACUAAUACCCAAUGACGUCUCUAGAAGACAUCUGAAAGAGAUUAAAGAUUUAUCGGUGAUGGAUGGGGAUGCGUCUGAUUAGCUUGUUGGCGGGGUAACGGCCCACCAAGGCGACGAUCAGUAGGGGUUCUGAGAGGAAGGUCCCCCACAUUGGAACUGAGACACGGUCCAAACUCCUACGGGAGGCAGCAGUGAGGAAUAUUGGUCAAUGGGCGAGAGCCUGAACCAGCCAAGUAGCGUGCAGGAAGACGGCCCUAUGGGUUGUAAACUGCUUUUAUGCGGGGAUAAAGCGGGGAACGUGUUCCCCUUUGCAGGUACCGCAUGAAUAAGGACCGGCUAAUUCCGUGCCAGCAGCCGCGGUAAUACGGAAGGUCCGGGCGUUAUCCGGAUUUAUUGGGUUUAAAGGGAGCGCAGGCCGCCUUUUAAGCGUGUUGUGAAAUGUCCCGGCUCAACCGGGUCACUGCAGCGCGAACUGGAAGGCUUGAGUACGCUGUAGGUAGGCGGAAUUCGUGGUGUAGCGGUGAAAUGCUUAGAUAUCACGAAGAACUCCGAUUGCGAAGGCAGCCUACCAUCGCGUGACUGACGCUGAGGCUCGAAAGUGCGGGUAUCGAACAGGAUUAGAUACCCUGGUAGUCCGCACGGUAAACGAUGGAUGCCCGCCGUUGGGUUUUUUGGUUCAGCGGCCAAGCGAAAGCGUUAAGCAUCCCACCUGGGGAGUACGCCGGCAACGGUGAAACUCAAAGGAAUUGACGGGGGCCCGCACAAGCGGAGGAACAUGUGGUUUAAUUCGAUGAUACGCGAGGAACCUUACCCGGGCUUGAACUGCAGGAGAACGAAUCAGAGAUGAUGAGGCCCUUCGGGGCUCCUGUGGAGGUGCUGCAUGGUUGUCGUCAGCUCGUGCCGUGAGGUGUCGGCUUAAGUGCCAUAACGAGCGCAACCCCUAUUGUUAGUUGCCAUCAUUAAGUUGGGCACUCUAGCGAGACUGCCGGUAAUAAACCGGAGGAAGGUGGGGAUGACGUCAAAUCAUCAUGCCCCUUAUGACCUGGGCUACACACGUGCUACAAUGGUUGGUACAACGAGUCGCGAGUCGGUGACGGCAAGCAAAUCUCUUAAAGCCAAUCUCAGUUCGGAUUGUAGGCUGCAACUCGCCUACAUGAAGUCGGAAUCGCUAGUAAUCGCGGAUCAGCACGCCGCGGUGAAUACGUUCCCGGGCCUUGUACACACCGCCCGUCAAG
Molecule: ribosomal RNA, 1400 nt
Filed under: uncultured bacterium
Lineage: Bacteria
Description: partial 16S ribosomal RNA
Rfam family: Bacterial small subunit ribosomal RNA
Source: RNAcentral